This 465-nucleotide ribosomal RNA is filed under the name uncultured bacterium. RNAcentral describes it as "partial 16S ribosomal RNA". It matches the Rfam family "Bacterial small subunit ribosomal RNA", at positions 28 to 506 of the family's 1533-position model. The record is from RNAcentral.
GACGAACGCUGGCGGCGCGCCUAACACAUGCAAGUCGAACGAGCGAGAGAGAGCUUGCUUUCUCGAGCGAGUGGCGAACGGGUGAGUAACGCGUGAGGAACCUGCCUCAAAGAGGGGGACAACAGUUGGAAACGACUGCUAAUACCGCAUAAGCCCACGACCCGGCAUCGGGUAGAGGGAAAAGGAGCAAUCCGCUUUGAGAUGGCCUCGCGUCCGAUUAGCUAGUUGGUGAGGUAACGGCCCACCAAGGCGACGAUCGGUAGCCGGACUGAGAGGUUGAACGGCCACAUUGGGACUGAGACACGGCCCAGACUCCUACGGGAGGCAGCAGUGGGGAAUAUUGCACAAUGGGGGAAACCCUGAUGCAGCGACGCCGCGUGGAGGAAGAAGGUCUUCGGAUUGUAAACUCCUGUUGUUGAGGAAGAUAAUGACGGUACUCAACAAGGAAGGGACGGCUAACUACGU